UACGAAGGGGGCUAGCGUUGCUCGGAAUCACUGGGCGUAAAGCGCACGUAGGCGGAUUGCUAAGUCAGGGGUGAAAUCCUGGAGCUCAACUCCAGAACUGCCCUUGAUACUGGCGGUCUCGAGUCCGGGAGAGGUGAGUGGAACUGCGAGUGUAGAGGUGAAAUUCGUAGAUAUUCGCAAGAACACCAGUGGCGAAGGCGGCUCACUGGCCCGGAACUGACGCUGAGACGCGAAAGCGUGGGGAGCAAACAGG
Molecule: ribosomal RNA, 253 nt
Filed under: uncultured bacterium
Lineage: Bacteria
Description: partial 16S ribosomal RNA
Rfam family: Bacterial small subunit ribosomal RNA
Source: RNAcentral